Molecule: long non-coding RNA, 315 nt
Organism: Fundulus heteroclitus (mummichog)
Lineage: Eukaryota; Metazoa; Chordata; Actinopteri; Cyprinodontiformes; Fundulidae
Exons: 4
Source: RefSeq, a predicted model, not a curated record
ACAGAACAGAGAGAAGACUCUGGAUCAGGGCUGACUGAAAUCCAGGAGAUGGAGAACAGAGCAGAACCUCCAGGAUCCAGCUGUCCGUCUAUGAGGAGUGACCGGUCCAAAGAAUACUAUCCAGACUUCAGUGAAGAACCUGGACCCUCAGACUCAGAAGGUCAGAACCACAAACAGAGAGCAGAACCUCCAGGAUCCAGCUGUCCGUCUAUCAGGAGUAACUGGUCCAAAGACUGGGAUCCAGACUUCAGUGAAGAACCUGGACCCUCAGACUCAGAACCAGGACCUGGACUGCUGGCAGCCAAUCAGAGCAGC